RNAcentral lists this ribosomal RNA (277 nucleotides) under uncultured bacterium. RNAcentral's name for it is "partial 16S ribosomal RNA". It matches the Rfam family "Bacterial small subunit ribosomal RNA", at positions 28 to 298 of the family's 1533-position model. The record is from RNAcentral.
GACGAACGCUGGCGGCGUGCCUAACACAUGCAAGUGGAGCGACGACCCGGGCUUCGGCCCGGUGCAAAGCCGCGAACGGGUGAGUAACACGUGGGUAACCUGCCCCGAUGACCGGGACAACCCGAGGAAACUCGGGCUAAUACCGGAUGUGCCCUCCAGCUACAAGGCUGCUGGGGAAAGGAAGCUUCGGCCUCCGCAUCGGGAUGGGCCCGCGGCGCAUUAGCUUGUUGGUGAGGUAACGGCUCACCAAGGCGACGAUGCGUAGCUGGUCUGAGAG